GGGUUAAGUCCCGCAACGAGCGCACCCYUAUUGUUAGUUGCCAGCAUUCAGUKGGGCACUCUAAUGAGACUGCCGGUGACAAACCGGAGGAAGGKUGGGGAUGACGUCAAAUCAUCAUGCCCCUUAUGACCUGGGCUACACACGUGCUACAAUGGAUGGUACAACGAGCAGCAAGACCGCGAGGUCAAGCGAAUCUCUUAAAGCCAUUCUCAGUUCGGAUUGCAGGCUGCAACUCGCCUGCAUGAAGCCCGGAAUCGCUAGUAAUCGCGGGAUCAGCACGCCGCGGUGAAUACGUUCCCGGGUCUUGUACACACCGCCCGUCACACCACGAGAGUUUGUAACACCCGAAGUCGGUGAGGUAACCUUUUUGGAGCCAGCCGCCUAAGGUGGGACAGAUGAUUGGGGUGAAGUCGUAACAAGGUAACC
RNAcentral lists this ribosomal RNA (426 nucleotides) under uncultured Trichococcus sp. Its description in RNAcentral is "bacterial SSU rRNA". It matches the Rfam family "Bacterial small subunit ribosomal RNA", at positions 1077 to 1501 of the family's 1533-position model. The record is from RNAcentral. Lineage: Bacteria; Bacillati; Bacillota; Bacilli; Lactobacillales; Carnobacteriaceae.